This 253-nucleotide ribosomal RNA is filed under the name uncultured bacterium. RNAcentral describes it as "partial 16S ribosomal RNA". It matches the Rfam family "Bacterial small subunit ribosomal RNA", at positions 524 to 776 of the family's 1533-position model. The record is from RNAcentral.
UACGUAGGGGGCAAGCGUUGUCCGGAAUCAUUGGGCGUAAAGCGCGUGUAGGCGGUCCGGUAAGUCCGCUGUGAAAGUCGGGGGCUCAACCCUCGGAUGCCGGUGGAUACUGUCGGGCUCGAGUCCGGAAGAGGAGUGUGGAAUUCCUGGUGUAGCGGUGAAAUGCGCAGAUAUCAGGAGGAACACCCGUGGCGAAGGCGGCUCUCUGGGACGGUACUGACGCUGAGACGCGAAAGCGUGGGGAGCGAACAGG